RNAcentral lists this long non-coding RNA (583 nucleotides) under Lathyrus oleraceus (garden pea). RNAcentral's name for it is "Pisum sativum (pea) long non-coding RNA (PSAT_LNC004009)". Lineage: Eukaryota; Viridiplantae; Streptophyta; Magnoliopsida; Fabales; Fabaceae. The record is from RNAcentral.
GAAGAUGCUGCUGAUGAUGAGAACAAUUCAGGGUCUAGUUAUGAGAAGGAAGCGACUCCUCCUAAAUAUGAAUAUCCAAGUGGAUAUGGUUUGGAAACUGUGGAUAUAUGUGAAAGCUUGUUUGGUUAUUGGCCAUGUUUGGCAAAAAUGAAGAGAGAAAAUUGUUGUAAUGGAUCAAUUCAUAGAGAAAACCAUUGUCAGGAGAAUAUGUGGAAAGGGACUGCAGAUUAUCUGUUUGGAAAUCCAUAUCCAUAUGGUGGGAGAAGGGACGAUGAUUAUGGAGGGGAGUUUUUCUAUGGUUAUGAAAGGCAUUGAUUACAGUGAUGAAUCAUGGUGACAGAAAUGAAAUAAUUUUUUCAAAUAUGUAAUGAGAGAAUUUGAAAGUUGUAAAGGUUGUUUCUGAUGUACGAGUAAAUGUAGGAGUUUGAUUGAAAGAUGCGAAAAGAAUAAAUUUUCAUGUUUACAGGCUUUAUCCUAUGGUUCUAGUUUAAGAGCUAGUAGUUUGAUGAAUGAUUUUCUCUCCAUGAUGGUUUUUUUUAUAGAAUGAUAUUUAACAUUGAGUCAUCAAUUUGCAAUCUAAAAA